RNAcentral lists this ribosomal RNA (217 nucleotides) under uncultured bacterium. RNAcentral's name for it is "partial 16S ribosomal RNA". It matches the Rfam family "Bacterial small subunit ribosomal RNA", at positions 114 to 334 of the family's 1533-position model. The record is from RNAcentral.
UGCUUAGGAAUCUACCCAUCAGUGGGGGACAACCCGGGGAAACUCGGGCUAAUACCGCAUACGUCCUAUGGGAGAAAGCGGGGGACCGCAAGGCCUCGCGCUGACGGAUGAGCCUAAGUCCGAUUAGCUAGUUGGUGGGGUAAAGGCCCACCAAGGCGACGAUCGGUAGCUGGUCUGAGAGGAUGAUCAGCCACACUGGGACUGAGACACGGCCCAG